CCUUCGAUAGCUCAGUUGGUAGAGCGGAGGACUGUAGAUGUUGCAAAUGGCCAUCCUUAGGUCGCUGGUUCAAAUCCGGCUCGAAGGA
RNAcentral lists this transfer RNA (88 nucleotides) under Poecilia formosa (Amazon molly). It matches the Rfam family "tRNA". Rfam says of the family: Transfer RNA (tRNA) molecules are approximately 80 nucleotides in length. Their secondary structure includes four short double-helical elements and three loops (D, anti-codon, and T loops). Further hydrogen bonds mediate the characteristic L-shaped molecular structure. tRNAs have two regions of fundamental functional importance: the anti-codon, which is responsible for specific mRNA codon recognition, and the 3' end, to which the tRNAs corresponding amino acid is attached (by aminoacyl-tRNA synthetases). tRNAs cope with the degeneracy of the genetic code in two manners: having more than one tRNA (with a specific anti-codon) for a particular amino acid; and 'wobble' base-pairing, i.e. permitting non-standard base-pairing at the 3rd anti-codon position. The record is from Rfam by way of RNAcentral. Lineage: Eukaryota; Metazoa; Chordata; Actinopteri; Cyprinodontiformes; Poeciliidae.